GUUGAUGUUUUGUUCAGAUGGUAUAUAAGGCUGAAAAUAUGCGAAUUGCAUGUAAAUAAUAAAUUAAAUUAAGCUCAAACACAGGAAUUAUGAAGGCUAUUAUCGUUGCAUACAUAGUGGCAGCUGCGUUCAUCAUAAUGGCAGCUUCCCCGUAUAUAACAUUGAAGGAAUCGCCGUUAUCGCUACCUGGCGUCCCAUAUCCAGAGAUUUAUUAAGAAAUAAAACCGAACUUCAUCUUAAA
Molecule: long non-coding RNA, 241 nt
Organism: Plodia interpunctella (Indianmeal moth)
Lineage: Eukaryota; Metazoa; Arthropoda; Insecta; Lepidoptera; Pyralidae
Exons: 2
Source: RefSeq, a predicted model, not a curated record